CAUCUGGUGGAUGGCUUGGCUCGGGCGCCGACGAAGGGCGCGGCGAGCGGCGAAACUGCCCGGGUAGAUGUAUGCAAUCGUUGAUCCGGGCGUUCCCGAAUGGGACUUCCCCUAGGCGUAAACCGCCUAGGCGCCGACGAGGCGCGGGAACCCCCCGAACGGAAACAUCUUAGUAGGGGGAGGAAAAGAAAUCAAAACGAGAUUCCCUGAGUACCGGCGAGGGAAAAGGGAAGAGGCCAAACUGAAUCCUAGCACGAUGAGUGCUAGGGCGUGUGGGGUUUGGACUUGGAGUAGGGCCUAACUCCACGAGCGGAAGCGCGUUGGAAAACGCCGCCAUAGAGGGUGAUGGCCCCGUACGCGAAGUGGAGAAGGCCUGUCCAAGUUCCAGAGUACCAUGCCCUGACGGGUGUGGGAAGAUGGGAGUCACCGACUUCCAAGCCUAAAUACGUCCCGAGACCGAUAGCGGACAAGUACCGUGAGGGAAAGCUGAAAAGGACCCCGGAAGGGGUGUGAAAAGCGCCUGAAACCAGAUGGGGAUACCCGGUACGGCCUGAAAGGGUUCAAGCUUACCCGAAGGAAUCCGCGGCGACGCGGUAGUACGAGGGUAAGCUACCAGGGUCGUGCCGUUCGUCUUGGAAAACGAGCCGGGGAGUCCAUGGCUGUGGCGAGGGUAAGGGUUCUUUAACCCGCACCCGUAGGGAAACCGACAUGCCCGCAGCGCCUUUGGCGUGAGGGGCGAGGUCCGAUAAGAGCCUGAAGUCACAGUCAUGGGACCAGAAACCGGGCGAUCUAUGCCUGCGCAGGGCGAAGCCGGGCGAAAGCUCGGUGGAGGCCCGAAGGGGUGCUGACGUGCAAAUCGCUCCUCUGACGCGGGCAUAGGGGCAAAAGACCAAUCUAGCCCGGUGAUAGCUGGUUCCCUCCGAAGUGCGUCCUAGCGCAGCCCGGCCAGAGAUCGCCGACGGGGUAGAGCUACGGAUUAGAAAGUGAGAGCCGAAAGGCUCCGCUUUCUUGUCCAACUCCGAAUCCGUCGGCUUCGGAGAAGGCCGGAGUGGGGGCUACGGGAUAAGCUCGUAGUCCGAGAGGGGAACAAGCCUCACUGGGGUUAAGGCCCCUAAGUGCCGGCUAAGUGCACGAAAGAGCGUCUCACGCCUAAGACAGCGAAAAGGUGGGCCCAGAAGUAGCCAUCCUCUAAGGAGUGUGUAACAACUCAUUCGCCGAGGCGUGAGGCCUCGAAGAUGGACGGGGCUCAAGCCGGCCGCCGAGACCCCAGCAUACCGCUUGUAUCAAGCGGUAUGGGUAGGAGGGCGUCCCAACUGGGUAGAAGCAGGGCCGUGAGGUCCUGUGGACCGGUUGGGAUUGCGGAUCCCGGUGGUAGUAGCAGCAAAGAGAGGAGAAUAUCCUCUCCGCCGAAAGGGCCAGGGUUCCUUGGCAACGAUCUUCGGCCAAGGGUUAGCCGGUCCUAAGGUGACCCGUAACUCGGUGUCACCGAAAAAGGGAAAGGGGUUAAUAUUCCCCUGCCACGGAGAUACGUGCCGUAAGGCGCGCCGACACCUGACGCUUCAGGGUAGGUCGAGCGGAGUUGCCGCUCUGUCGACUUAGCCGAAGCUGGGGGAGUGUCGUAAUGACGAGAACCCAGUCAAGGCUAGGUCGGUCCUCCGCAAGGGGGAUUCGGCCGAACCCCGGAGCCCAUGAAAAACGGUGUCGGAAGGAGUCUCCGUGACCGUACCUAGAUCCGACACAGGUGCCCCUGGGUGAGAAGCCCGAGGCGUGUCGGGUUUAUCCCUGGUUAGGGAACUUGGCAAAUUAGCCCCGUACCUUCGGAAGAAGGGGUGCCUGGCAUCCUGCCGUUAGGUGGUGGUGCCAGGUCGCAGUGACUAGGGUGAGCCGACUGUUUAAUAAAAACAUAGGUCACCGCUAGCCGGUAACGGUGUGUACGGUGGCUGAAUCCUGGCCACUGGCGGGACGUCAAACCCGGGUUCAACCGGGCGAAGCGCCGCUGAAGGCCGGGAGUAACUCUGACUCUCUUAAGGUAGCCAAAUGCCUUGCCGGGUAAGUUCCGGCGUGCAUGAAUGGAUCAACGAGCUCACCACUGUCCCAACCAGGGGCCCGGCGAAACUACGUCACCUGGUGCAUAGUCCAGGGACCCCCGACCGGGAGAAAAGACCCCGUGGAGCUUUACUGCAGCCUGUUGUUGGGAUACGGUUGUGGAUGCGGAGAGUAGGCGGGAGCAAUGAGGUCAUGGCUCCGGCCAUGGCCAAUGCGCCGUUGAAACACCGCCCAUCCAUAGCUGUGUCCCUAACCUCGAAAGAGGGACAGCAAUAGGUGGGCAGUUCGGCUGGGGCGGCACGCCCACGAAAAGAUAUCGUGGGCGCCCAAAGGUUGGCUCAGGCGGGUCAGAACUCCGCCGUAGAGUGCAAGGGCAAAAGCCAGCCUGACCGAGUCCUUAUGGCGAGGGACUCGGAGGGGAAACCCAGGCCUAGCGACCGCUCAUGCCUCCCUCGGUGGGAGCUGGGCAUGACAGAAAAGUUACCCCGGGGAUAACAGAGUCGUCGCGGGCGAGAGCUCCUAUCGACCUCGCGGUUUGCUACCUCGAUGUCGGCUCUUCCCAUCCUGGUGGUGCAGCAGCCGCCAAGGGUGGGGCUGCCCGCCCAUUAAAGGGGAACGUGAGCUGGGUUUAGACCGUCGUGAGACAGGUCGGUCUCUCCCUAUCGGGGGUGCUGGUCGCCUGAGGGGAAGGUGCCCUUAGUACGAGAGGAACGGGGCGCCGCGGCCUCUAGUUUACCGGUUGUCUGGCAAGGCAGACGCCGGGCAGCCACGCCGUAUCUGGGUAACCGCUGAAAGCAUCUAAGCGGGAACCCAGCCCCGAAAAUAGGCGGCCAAUCCCCCGUUCUAAUAGAACGGGGGACGAGGGCACCAGUAGAAGACUGGGUUGAUAGGGUGGGGGUGUAAGCGCCAAGGCUUCGGCCGAGGCGUUCAGCCUGCCACUACUAACAGCCCGAGGGCUGAGUCUU
RNAcentral lists this ribosomal RNA (3011 nucleotides) under Candidatus Marsarchaeota G1 archaeon BE_D. Its description in RNAcentral is "bacterial LSU rRNA". It matches the Rfam family "Archaeal large subunit ribosomal RNA". Lineage: Archaea; Thermoproteati; Thermoproteota. The record is from RNAcentral.